UUUCCGUAGGUGAACCUGCGGAAGGAUCAUUACUGAGUGAGGGCCCCUCGGGGUCCAACCUCCCACCCGUGUUUAACGAACCUUUGUUGCUUCGGCGGGCCCGCCUCACGGCCGCCGGGGGGCUCCUGCCCCCGGGCCCGCGCCCGCCGAAGCCCCCCCUUGAACGCUGUCUGAAGUUUGCAGUCUGAGAAACUAGCUAAAUUAGUUAAAACUUUCAACAACGGAUCUCUUGGUUCCGGCAUCGAUGAAGAACGCAGC
This 258-nucleotide unclassified non-coding RNA is filed under the name uncultured fungus. Its description in RNAcentral is "sequence contains ITS1, 5.8S rRNA gene". The stretch from base 210 to 258 matches the Rfam family "5.8S ribosomal RNA", at positions 1 to 49 of the family's 154-position model. Lineage: Eukaryota; Fungi. The record is from RNAcentral.